GAGCGGACAGAUGGGAGCUUGCUCCCUGAUGUUAGCGGCGGACGGGUGAGUAACACGUGGGUAACCUGCCUGUAAGACUGGGAUAACUCCGGGAAACCGGGGCUAAUACCGGAUGCUUGAUUGAACCGCAUGGUUCAAUUAUAAAAGGUGGCUUUUAGCUACCACUUACAGAUGGACCCGCGGCGCAUUAGCUAGUUGGUGAGGUAACGGCUCACCAAGGCAACGAUGCGUAGCCGACCUGAGAGGGUGAUCGGCCACACUGGGACUGAGACACGGCCCAGACUCCUACGGGAGGCAGCAGUAGGGAAUCUUCCGCAAUGGACGAAAGUCUGACGGAGCAACGCCGCGUGAGUGAUGAAGGUUUUCGGAUCGUAAAACUCUGUUGUUAGGGAAGAACAAGUACCGUUCGAAUAGGGCGGUACCUUGACGGUACCUAACCAGAAAGCCACGGCUAACUACGUGCCAGCAGCCGCGGUAAUACGUAGGUGGCAAGCGUUGUCCGGAAUUAUUGGGCGUAAAGCGCGCGCAGGCGGUUUCUUAAGUCUGAUGUGAAAGCCCCCGGCUCAACCGGGGAGGGUCAUUGGAAACUGGGGAACUUGAGUGCAGAAGAGGAGAGUGGAAUUCCACGUGUAGCGGUGAAAUGCGUAGAGAUGUGGA
This 657-nucleotide ribosomal RNA is filed under the name Bacillus haynesii. RNAcentral's name for it is "bacterial SSU rRNA". It matches the Rfam family "Bacterial small subunit ribosomal RNA", at positions 64 to 702 of the family's 1533-position model. Lineage: Bacteria; Bacillati; Bacillota; Bacilli; Caryophanales; Bacillaceae. The record is from RNAcentral.